AGCGAACGCUGGCGGCAGGCUUAACACAUGCAAGUCGAGCGGGCCCUUCGGGGUCAGCGGCGGACGGGUGAGUAACGCGUGGGAACGUGCCUUCUGGUUCGGAAUAACCCUGGGAAACUAGGGCUAAUACCGGAUACGCCCUUUUGGGGAAAGGUUUACUGCCGGAAGAUCGGCCCGCGUCUGAUUAGCUAGUUGGUGGGGUAACGGCCUACCAAGGCGACGAUCAGUAGCUGGUCUGAGAGGAUGAUCAGCCACACUGGGACUGAGACACGGCCCAGACUCCUACGGGAGGCAGCAGUGGGGAAUAUUGGACAAUGGGCGCAAGCCUGAUCCAGCCAUGCCGCGUGAGUGAUGAAGGCCUUAGGGUUGUAAAGCUCUUUUAUCCGGGACGAUAAUGACGGUACCGGAGGAAUAAGCCCCGGCUAACUUCGUGCCAGCAGCCGCCGCGG
Molecule: ribosomal RNA, 449 nt
Filed under: uncultured bacterium
Lineage: Bacteria
Description: partial 16S ribosomal RNA
Rfam family: Bacterial small subunit ribosomal RNA
Source: RNAcentral